RNAcentral lists this ribosomal RNA (248 nucleotides) under uncultured bacterium. RNAcentral describes it as "partial 16S ribosomal RNA". It matches the Rfam family "Bacterial small subunit ribosomal RNA", at positions 524 to 771 of the family's 1533-position model. The record is from RNAcentral.
UACGUAGGGGCAAGCGUUGUCCGGAAUCAUUGGGCGUAAAGCGCGUGUAGGCGGCUCGGUAAGUCUGCUGUGAAAGUCCAGGGCUCAACCCUGGGAUGCCGGUGGAUACUGUCGAGCUCGAGUCCGGAAGAGGCGAGUGGAAUUCCUGGUGUAGCGGUGAAAUGCGCAGAUAUCAGGAGGAACACCGGUGGCGAAGGCGGGUCUCUGGGCCGAUGACUGACGCUGAGGAGCGAAAGCGUGGGGAGCGA